RNA transcript from Chenopodium quinoa (quinoa), 1290 nucleotides. It is a transcript of the gene named ycf3-interacting protein 1, chloroplastic-like, with no coding region annotated. The transcript has 7 exons. NCBI's taxonomy places the organism in Eukaryota, Viridiplantae, Streptophyta, Magnoliopsida, Caryophyllales, Amaranthaceae. The record is from RefSeq and is a predicted model, not a curated record.
UCUGUAGGUUUCGGCUUAAAUAGGUUCCGAUUUCAAGUCAUGAUAUCUUGAAUUUUUGCUCAUCCCCAUUAAUGACCGCAUAAUGAUAUUUUAAGAAUUCAGCCACAACAAUCCACAUGACCACGUAUGACAUAAUGCAAUGUUUCAAGUUCACAUACUAAAAUAAAAUUUUAAAAAAAAAAAAACAUUAAUUUGAACCUCCUUACCAAAAAACAGACUUCACUAGAUAAGCUUAGAGAGAGAAUGGGAACCCAACAGUUACAACUGCCACUACCAUCAUCAUCAUCUUCAACUUGUUCAACUAGACUUUCUUCCAUUUUAUCUCACCACUACAAUUGCCGUAGCACCACCACUUCACUCCUUUUCAACCGCAGCAGCACCACCAACACCAUUCUCUCUCUUUCCCUCAACCAUGUCAACCACCGUCGUUCAAUUCAGCACGGCCGUGUUGGUAUGGAUGACUCGACUAUUCCGGCUACCUCUACCGCUUUUGAGGAUGACGAAGACGAUGUAGAACCCGAACCUACUCCUGAGGAUCUCGAAUACAUUAGCCGAAUUAAAAGAGUUUUGGAGCUUCUCAGGAAAAACAGGGACAUGCUUUUUGGAGAGGUCAAGCUGACUAUUAUGAUUGAGGACCCUAGAGAAGUUGAGAGGCGAAGGUUGAUUGGAAUUGAUGAUUCUGAUGGACCAACAAGGGAGGAUUUAGUUGCUGCUUUAGAAGAAGUAAAUGAUGGAAAAAUUCCACGAGAUCGUGUUGCCUUGCGUAUGCUUGCAGUGGAGAUGACUAGCUGGCCAAAUUUGGAGGCUGAACCUUCUAAGAAGACGACAAAGAACAAAUCCCUCUACGCAAAAGCAACUGAUACAGGUAUUGAUCCUGUAAUCGCUGCAAAGAGGCUGAACAUGGACUGGGAUUCAGCAGCUGAGAUUGCGACAGCCGAAAAUUCUGAUGAUACUGAUGUACCUCCAGUUGUAGGUAGCUGAGCUCCAUGCAAUGAUAUAGCUCUAGACCAAGAAAAAAAGCGGUGAGAAUGUUGAUCUGGGGAUAUGGAGCAUUAUACCUCGUCUCAGCCUUUCCGGUCAUAAUCGGAAUUUCAGUUGUUUUGAUAUUAUUUUACAACUCCCUUCAGUAGAUAUGUUCAUGCCUUUCUCCAUAAGAGUAAAAGUAUUGUGAUCCGUAUAACCAGUUAAAGGUUUACUGCUACCCAUGGUAUAUAUUGGAAAAGCUUUCAACUCUUCUGCUUACUACCUUCCUUUUCUAAAAUUCUUAUUAUAUUCAUCUGUUAAAAUUAA